RNAcentral lists this ribosomal RNA (493 nucleotides) under uncultured bacterium. Its description in RNAcentral is "bacterial SSU rRNA". It matches the Rfam family "Bacterial small subunit ribosomal RNA", at positions 8 to 518 of the family's 1533-position model. The record is from RNAcentral.
AGAGUUUGAUCAUGGCUCAGAAUGAACGUUGGCGGCGUGGAUUAGGCAUGCAAGUCGAGCGGGUAUAGCAAUAUACCAGCGGCGAAAGGGAUAGUAACGCGUAGUUACCAACCCCCGGGACUGGGAUAGCUUUUUGGAAACGAAAGGUAAUACCAGAUAACAUCUCCGGAUCAAAGGUGGGAUUCCGCCUGGGGACGGGACUGCGUCCUAUUAGUUAGUUGGUGAGGUAAUGGCUCACCAAGACGACGAUGGGUAGCGGGCGUGAGAGCGUGACCCGCAUCAUUGGGACUGAGACACUGCCCAGACACCUACGGGUGGCUGCAGUCGAGAAUCUUCGGCAAUGGACGAAAGUCUGACCGAGCGACGCCGCCGUGCGGGAUGAAGGUCUUCGGAUUGUAAACCGCUGUCAAGUUGGAGGAAGUAUCCAGAGGUAAUCCUUUGGAUUUGACCGAGAGCAAAAGGAAGGACGGGCUAAGUUCGUGCCAGCCGCCGC